RNAcentral lists this long non-coding RNA (4265 nucleotides) under Homo sapiens (human). RNAcentral describes it as "non-protein coding lnc-SBDS-4:6". The record is from RNAcentral. Lineage: Eukaryota; Metazoa; Chordata; Mammalia; Primates; Hominidae.
GGUGCCGGGAGCGGGGCGAGGAGGAGGGUGGGUAUGAGGCGGUAGCGGACCGCGGAGUCGAGACCUACCCGAACGACGCGGGCGAGCGGGGCUUUGGACGCCGGUGGAGACGCAGGCGAGACUCCAGCGGGAGGAAGAAGAGGCCUUUGCCAGCAGUCAGAGCAGCCAAGGGGCCCAAUCCCUCACAUUCUCCAAGUUUGAAGGAAAGAAAACCAACAAGAAGACCCGCAAGGUUACCACAGUGAAGAAAUCUUCAGUACGUCUUCCAGGGUCGGAUCAAAGAAGGAUAUUGAAAUGGAUUCCAGGCGUGUGCCUCGAGACAAGCUGGCCUGCAUCACCAAGUGCAGCAAGCACAUCUUCGAUGCCAUCAAGAUCACCUAGAACGAGCUGGCGUCAGCAGAUGACUUCCUCCCCACCCUCAUCUACAUUGUUUUGAAGGGCAACCCCCAUGCCUUCAGUCUAAUAUCCAGUAUAUCACGUGCUUCUGCAAUCCAAGCCGACUGAUGACUGGAGAGGAUGGCUACUAUUUCACCAAUCUGAGGCUGGGCACUCACUGCAGCUGGCUAAUGAUGACCAUGUGGACAUGCUUUCGGGCCUUCAGGAUCUUCUCCAGCCAGUGGAUGUCACAACGGUGUUGGAGUCUUGGGCCCAAAGACCAGCUCCUAGAACCUGCAGGGAAGCAACGGCACGUUCCAUCUCUCCCCAUGCCACUGAGGAAUCAUUGGUGGCAGGAUUCUCAGCAGGCAUGGCCGUGGGUGCACAGAACAGAGAAAGGAUGGCCUGGACCACACACAUCACUGUGUGCAGAUGCUUUCCUAGACACUGCAGCCAAGGACACAGAGGCUCAGAGAGAAUAACCUCCAUCUCCUGGGUCCCAGCGAUUCUCCUGCCUCAGCCUCUUCCUAUUUCACAAGUAGGGAAACUGAAGCCCAGGUAGGCAAGCCUGACUUGCUGGAGUCACACAGGAAGUUGGCAGCUCUGCUCCAUCCCUGGGAUCUGGAGCCCCUGCUCUGGGGAAGGAGAGGUGGGGCGCUGCCUUCCCAGAGUCCCCUCAAGCUGGCAGGGACGGCUGUACCCCCAGGGUCAGAGGAGAACUAAAAGGAGCGGAAGCUGGCCUGGGUCCAGGGAGAGACCUCGUGUUUGCCCAAAAGGGAGCUGGAGAGGGGCAGCUGGGCCCAUAUGCAGGGAGGAGCUGCAGGGAGCUGGUGGCGGGGCAGCAAAGAGAAGUGGAUUUGGUGGGUAGAGGGGCCCCUCCUUGGUUCUAGUCCUCCCCGCAGCCCCUUGCAAACAGGCGGGGCUCUCCUGUCCUUCUUGUCUCCUGCAGCAAGCCCUACAUGAAGAGGCCUCUUUGGUGAGUGGCAGCUCAACCUCUGCUAAAUGCCUCCAGUGAUGGGGAGUUCACUACCUUCCAAAGUUUUUAAAAGAUGUUAACCACUGCUAUUCAAGAACAAUUCUAGAAUUUUUUUUUUUUUGAAAGACAAGGUCUCAUUCUGUCUCGCAGGCCAGAGUGCAGUGGUGUGAUCAUAGCUCACUGCAGCUUUGACUUCCUGGGCUCAAGCAAUCCUCCCUCCUCAGCCUCCUGAGUACCUGAGACUACAGAUGUGCACCACCACACUGGCUCAUUGUUUUCAUUUUUUGUAGAGACAGGAUCUCACUAUGUUGCCCAGGCUGGUCUCCUGGCUUCAAGCAAUCCUCCUGCCUUGGCCUCCCAAAGUGCUGGGAUUACAGGCGUGAGCCACUGCAUCUGGCCUUUUUUUUUUGGAGAUAGAGUCUCGCUCUGUCGCCCAGGGUGGAGUGCAGUGGCGUGAUCUCGGCUCAUUGCAACCUCCGCCUUCCGGGUUCACACCAUUCUCCUGCCUCAGCCUCCCGAGUAGCUGGGAUUACAGGCAUCUGCCAACCAUGCCUGGCUAAUUUUUGUAUUUUUUGGUGGAGACAGGGUCUCACCAUGUUGGCUAGGCUGGUUUCGAACUCCCGACCUCAGGUGAUCUACCCGCCUCAGCCUCCCAAAGUCCUGGGAUUACAGGCUGAGCCACCGCGACCGGCCCUGCUGUUGCUUCUGAGGUUUGAAAACCGCUGCCUCAAUGCUCCUGAUUCAGCUCUUCUUACCCAAAGGUUCCCCCACCUCAUCUACUCUGUUCCUGCACAGUCGCCCUUUUCUCUGAUGCCCCGGGCAGGUUUCUCUCUGCCAGCUCCACGCUUCUGGAGUCCCCCAUCCGUCUUGGGGCCCAGCUGCCCACUGUCUGGGUUCAGACCUUCUCAACACUCCCUGGCUUCUCUGCCCUAGUUUUGCCUUCUCCAAUCCACUCUUGGUGGGUGGAAGUACGGUUACCAUGGUAACUUGAAGACAACGCAAAUCUGAUUGUAUCAUUACAAUGACUGGGAAAACCUCCAGUGCCACAAAAUAAAGCUCAAGUCACUAGCUUUGCAGUCCAGGCCCUUUACCAUUCCGGCAGCAUUUCUGGGGGCUAUUCUCCUUCCCCCCACUGCACAACCCCGCCUGGCCACCCCAGGCUCAGGCUGCAGAACAGCGUAGACCAGGGAGUGGCUUUGGGGUCAUGCUAACUACCUGGUUUUUGUCUCUUUCAGGCUGUUUGCUCAGUUGCAAAAUGGGAAGGACAACAGCACCCGCCUCACAGGCUAAGAGGCUGUGUGUGAAAAGCCCGCAGCACAGGAUCUGGCACGCGUGGACGUGCGGGAUGGGAGGAGGGGAUUUCCCAGCUCCUCAUCUCUGCAGGGACUGGCCUUGGCCUAGGGAACACUAGCUGUCCAGGGAGGGGGAGCUUUCCCUGAGCCCCCCGAUGUGUGGCAGGCAGAGGAGAGCAAGCUACUUCUGGGAGGGGAGUUGUGGGGAAGGGCAAGUUAGUCUUUACUGAGGGUGGCAGUGAGCUGGCACUUUGGUCUCACCUCGGCUGCAGAAACCCACCCUGCUCCCGUCUUAUUUCCUGGGGAUUUCAGCUGUGUGCAGGCACAGAUGCAUCUCCCAAGUGCCUCAUGCUUGCCUUGAUCUCCUCUCCUUCCUCUGGCCAGUCCUGAACCUCUUGGUGAUCCACGGCGGCACCUCUGUGUCCUACAUCCUUCUCUGGCCAUCUCCUUCCCUCCUUCCAGCCCUCCCUCUAGGACCCUGACCCCAACCAUCCUUCAUCCCCAUGGGGACAUUCAGUCCACUGACUCAUCACCCUCCCCUGUCCCUCUGUGAGAGAAGGAGCAGGCAGAGAGGAUCUUGCAAGAGCCUUCAGCAACUCUCUUCCACCCAUCCUGUUGCUUGCUGCUUUUUUUUUUUUUUUUUCCAAAAAAAUAGAGAUGGGGUCUUGCUAUGUGGCUGGUCUCAAACUCCUGGGCUCAAGUGAUCCUCCUGCCUCGGCCUCCCAAAGUGCUGGAUUACAGGCGUGAGCCACCACACCCGGCUCCGUUCCCUUUCUAAGCAGGGUGCUCCUUUUCUUGCCAUUUCCCCCAUCCUCCUUCCUCUCCCACAGCUCACUUCCCUCUCUACUGAAUCUGCUGAAGAUCAUGCAGCUGCUGUUCCUGCCUCUAAAACCCUCUCUUGGCUGGGUGUGGUGGGUGACAUAUGUAAUCCCAGCACUUUGGGAGGCUGAGGCAGGAGAAUCACUUGAACCCGGGAGGCGGAGGUUGCAGUGAGCCGAGAUUGCGCCACUGCACUCCAGCCUAGGUGAUAGAGCAAGACUCUGUCCCCUCCCUCCACCAAAAAAAUAAAGCCCUCUCUGCAUCCAUUCCACUCUCCACUCUUGCUCAUUCUCUCCUGCCCUCUAAAAGGUGAUCUGUCUUUGGCAGAUUCAAUCACUUGCCUUUCUCAUUCUCUCCUGAGCCCACUAUUCCACUCUGGUCCCCACCACUUCCCCCAAAACUGCUUUGAACCAUCGCACUGCAACCUGUUGCUUAGCCCCUCCAUCUAGUCUCAGGCGUUAGGACUGACUGCCCAGCAGAGGCUGGUGCAACCAAUCACCUCCUUUAGUAAGUUUCUCCCUGGGCUUCACCUCUUCACCUGUGGGCUUUCCACCUGUCUCUCUCUUUUUUUUUUAAGACAGUCUCCUCUGUUGCCAGGCUGGAAUGCCGUGGCGCAAUCUCAGCUCACUGCAACCUCUACCUCCUGGGUUCAAGCGAUUCUCCUGCCUCAGGCUCCCAAGUAGCUGGGAUUACAGGUGCCCGCCACCACACCGGGCUAAUUUUUGUAUUUUUAGUAGAGUCGGGGUUUCACCAUGUUGCCCAGGCUGGUCUCGAACUCCUGACCUUACGUGAUCCACCCGCCU